RNAcentral lists this ribosomal RNA (651 nucleotides) under Triticum aestivum (bread wheat). RNAcentral describes it as "partial small subunit ribosomal RNA". The record is from RNAcentral. Lineage: Eukaryota; Viridiplantae; Streptophyta; Magnoliopsida; Poales; Poaceae.
UCAGCAGCGGGGAGCAUGGACUGGAGGGCCAUGGGCGCCGUCACCGGCGUCAAGGACCAAGGCUCUUGCGGCUGCUGCUGGGCGUUCUCGGCGGUGGCGGCGGUGGAAGGGCUGACCAAGAUCCGCACGGGGCGGCUUAUGUCACUGUCGGAGCAGCAGCUGGUGGACUGCGACGUGAACGGCGACGACGAGGGCUGCGCCGGCGGCCUCAUGGACAACGCCUUCGAGUACAUGGUCCGCCGCGGCGGCCUCACCACGGAGUCGUCCUACCCGUACCGCGGCACGGACGGGUCGUGCCGCCGCUCGGCCUCGGCCGCGUCCAUCCGGGGGUACGAGGACGUGCCGGCCAACAACGAGGCCGCGCUGAUGGCGGCCGUGGCGCACCAGCCCGUGUCCGUGGCCAUCAACGGCGGCGACAGCGUGUUCCGGUUCUACGACAGCGGCGUGCUGGGCGGGUCCGGCUGCGGCACGGAGCUCAACCACGCCAUCACGGCGGUCGGGUACGGCACGGCGGGCGACGGCACCAAGUACUGGAUCAUGAAGAACUCGUGGGGCGGGUCGUGGGGCGAGGGCGGCUACGUCAGGAUCCGCCGCGGCGUGCGCGGCGAGGGCGUCUGCGGCCUCGCCCAGCUCGCGUCCUACCCUGUCUAG